GGCAGGCCUAACACAUGCAAGUCGAGCGGCAGCGGGUCCUUCGGGAUGCCGGCGAGCGGCGGACGGGUGAGUAAUGCCUAGGAAUCUGCCUGGUAGUGGGGGAUAACUCGGGGAAACUCGAGCUAAUACCGCAUACGUCCUACGGGAGAAAGCGGGGGAUCUUCGGACCUCGCGCUACCAGAUGAGCCUAGGUCGGAUUAGCUAGUUGGUGAGGUAAAGGCUCACCAAGGCGACGAUCCGUAGCUGGUCUGAGAGGAUGAUCAGCCACACUGGAACUGAGACACGGUCCAGACUCCUACGGGAGGCAGCAGUGGGGAAUAUUGGACAAUGGGCGAAAGCCUGAUCCAGCCAUGCCGCGUGUGUGAAGAAGGUCUUCGGAUUGUAAAGCACUUUAAGUUGGGAGGAAGGGCAGUAAGCUAAUACCUUGCUGUUUUGACGUUACCGACAGAAUAAGCACCGGCUAACUUCGUGCCAGCAGCCGCGGUAAUACGAAGGGUGC
RNAcentral lists this ribosomal RNA (499 nucleotides) under uncultured bacterium. RNAcentral's name for it is "bacterial SSU rRNA". It matches the Rfam family "Bacterial small subunit ribosomal RNA", at positions 41 to 535 of the family's 1533-position model. The record is from RNAcentral.